Molecule: ribosomal RNA, 489 nt
Filed under: uncultured Acaulosporaceae
Lineage: Eukaryota; Fungi; Glomeromycota; Glomeromycetes; Diversisporales; Acaulosporaceae
Description: SSU rRNA
Rfam family: Eukaryotic small subunit ribosomal RNA
Source: RNAcentral
UUGGAGGGCAAGUCUGGUGCCAGCAGCCGCGGUAAUUCCAGCUCCAAUAGCGUAUAUUAAAGUUGUUGCAGUUAAAAGCUCGUAGUUGAAUUUCGGAAUCUGUUCGUUGGUCGGGCUACACUGUCCGUACUGGCGUGAUGGGUUCUUACCGUCUGAAUAACCAGCAUGCCAUUCAUUUGGUGCGUUGGGGAAGCAGGACUAUUACCUUGAAAAAUUAGAGUGCUCAAAGCAGGCUAGUGCCUGAAUACAUUAGCAUGGAAUAAUAAAAUAGGACGGCAUGGUUCUAUUUUGUUGGUUUCUAGGAUCACCGUAAUGAUUGAUAGGGAUAGUUGGGGGCAUUAGUAUUCAAUUGUCAGAGGUGAAAUUCUUGGAUUUAUUGAAGACUAACUUCUGCGAAAGCAUUUGCCAAGGAUGUUUUCAUUAAUCAAGAACGAAAGUUAGGGGAUCGAAGACGAUCAGAUACCGUCGUAGUCUUAACCAUAAGCUAUG